UUGAGUUCUAAGAUCAGGAUUGAAUCCAGGAUUGAGUUCCAGCUCUGCUACUUACUAACUGGGUAACUUUGGGCCACUUACCCUCUCUAACAUUCAGUUUCUUGUCUCUGACAUAGGUAUACUAACAGUCACCACCUGUGUUGAAAGGAUUGAAUGAGAAAUUCCACGGUAGUCAUUCAGCACGGUAGUAAGACACAGUCUCACUCUGUGGCCCAGGCUAUAGUACAGUGGUGUGAUCUCGGCUUAUUACAACUCCACCUCCUGGAUUCAAGAGAUUCUCCCACUUAGCCACCUGGACAUCUGGGAUUACAGGUGUGAACCACUGGGCCUGGCUAAUUUUUCUGUAUUUUUAGUAGAGACAGGAUUUCACCAUUGGGGACUGACUGUUUUUUUUUUAAAUUGCAUUUUAGGUUUUGGGGUACAUAUGAAGAACAUGCA
RNAcentral lists this long non-coding RNA (438 nucleotides) under Callithrix jacchus (white-tufted-ear marmoset). Its description in RNAcentral is "lncRNA (ENSCJAG00000083497.1)". The record is from RNAcentral. Lineage: Eukaryota; Metazoa; Chordata; Mammalia; Primates; Cebidae.